AAGGAGCUUGCUUCUUUUGGAUGAGUUGCGAACGGGUGAGUAACGCGUAGGUAACCUGCCUUGUAGCGGGGGAUAACUAUUGGAAACGAUAGCUAAUACCGCAUAACAGCUUUUGACACAUGUUAGAAGCUUGAAAGAUGCAAUUGCAUCACUACGAGAUGGACCUGCGUUGUAUUAGCUAGUAGGUAGGGUAACGGCCUACCUAGGCGACGAUACAUAGCCGACCUGAGAGGGUGAUCGGCCACACUGGGACUGAGACACGGCCCAGACUCCUACGGGAGGCAGCAGUAGGGAAUCUUCGGCAAUGGGGGCAACCCUGACCGAGCAACGCCGCGUGAGUGAAGAAGGUUUUCGGAUCGUAAAGCUCUGUUGUAAGAGAAGAAUGUGUGUGAGAGUGGAAAGUUCACACAGUGACGGUAACUUACCAGAAAGGGACGGCUAACUACGUGCCAGCAGCCGCGGUAAUACGUAGGUCCCGAGCGUUGUCCGGAUUUAUUGGGCGUAAAGCGAGCGCAGGCGGUUUAAUAAGUCUGAAGUUAAAGGCAGUGGCUUAACCAUUGUUCGCUUUGGAAACUGUUAAACUUGAGUGCAGAAGGGGAGAGUGGAAUUCCAUGUGUAGCGGUGAAAUGCGUAGAUAUAUGGAGGAACACCGGUGGCGAAAGCGGCUCUCUGGUCUGUAACUGACGCUGAGGCUCGAAAGCGUGGGGAGCAAACAGGAUUAGAUACCCUGGUAGUCCACGCCCGUAAACGAUGAGUGCUAGGUGUUAGGCCCUUUCCGGGGCUUAGUGCCGCAGCUAACGCAUU
RNAcentral lists this ribosomal RNA (804 nucleotides) under Streptococcus alactolyticus. RNAcentral describes it as "bacterial SSU rRNA". It matches the Rfam family "Bacterial small subunit ribosomal RNA", at positions 73 to 861 of the family's 1533-position model. Lineage: Bacteria; Bacillati; Bacillota; Bacilli; Lactobacillales; Streptococcaceae. The record is from RNAcentral.